RNAcentral lists this ribosomal RNA (136 nucleotides) under uncultured eukaryote. RNAcentral describes it as "partial 18S ribosomal RNA". It matches the Rfam family "Eukaryotic small subunit ribosomal RNA", at positions 1299 to 1458 of the family's 1831-position model. The record is from RNAcentral.
UGGUGGAGUGAUUUGUCUGGUUAAUUCCGUUAACGAACGAGACCUUAGCCUACUAACUAGUCAACGUAAUUUCAUUACAUUUGACUUCUUAGAGGGACUUUGCGUUUCAAGCGCAAGGAAGUUUGAGGCAAUAACA